GACGAACGCUGGCGGCGUGCUUAACACAUGCAAGUCGAACGGAAAGGCCCUGCUUUUGUGGGGUGCUCGAGUGGCGAACGGGUGAGUAACACGUGAGUAACCUGCCCUUGACUUUGGGAUAACUUCAGGAAACUGGGGCUAAUACCGGAUAGGAGCUCCUGCUGCAUGGUGGGGGUUGGAAAGUUUCGGCGGUUGGGGAUGGACUCGCGGCUUAUCAGCUUGUUGGUGGGGUAGUGGCUUACCAAGGCGUUGACGGGUAGCCGGCCUGAGAGGGUGACCGGCCACAUUGGGACUGAGAUACGGCCCAGACUCCUACGGGAGGCAGCAGUGGGGAAUAGUGCACAAUGGGCGGAAGCCUGAUGCAGCAACGCCGCGUGCGGGAUGACGGCCUUCGGGUUGUAAACCGCUUUCGCCUGUGACGAAGCGUGAGUGACGGUAAUGGGUAAAGAGGCACCGGCUAACUACGUG
RNAcentral lists this ribosomal RNA (468 nucleotides) under uncultured bacterium. RNAcentral's name for it is "partial 16S ribosomal RNA". It matches the Rfam family "Bacterial small subunit ribosomal RNA", at positions 28 to 507 of the family's 1533-position model. The record is from RNAcentral.